This 81-nucleotide transfer RNA is filed under the name Heliobacteriaceae bacterium. RNAcentral's name for it is "tRNA-Leu". It matches the Rfam family "tRNA". From Rfam's summary of the family: Transfer RNA (tRNA) molecules are approximately 80 nucleotides in length. Their secondary structure includes four short double-helical elements and three loops (D, anti-codon, and T loops). The record is from RNAcentral. Lineage: Bacteria; Bacillati; Bacillota; Clostridia; Eubacteriales; Heliobacteriaceae.
GUCGAUGUGGUGGAAUGGUAGACACGUGCGUUUCAGGUGCGCAUGGAGCAAUCCUUAGGAGUUCGAGUCUCCUCAUCGACA